RNAcentral lists this ribosomal RNA (110 nucleotides) under bovine gut metagenome. The record is from RNAcentral.
GGUGCCGAUGGCAAGGAGGUCCCACCCGUUCCCAUUCCGAACACGGAAGUUAAGCUCCUUCACGUCGGAAAUACUUGGCUGGCGACGGCCCGGGAAAUUAGAUAGGUGCC